Non-coding RNA from Pelobates cultripes (western spadefoot toad), 1066 nucleotides. NCBI's taxonomy places the organism in Eukaryota, Metazoa, Chordata, Amphibia, Anura, Pelobatidae. The record is from the annotation of a GenBank genome assembly.
UUUCUAUACAUUUUUAUUUUUUAAACAGUUAUAUUCUUUUAGUUAACUUAAAUUUUUUACAUAUGCAGCUUUCCAUAUACGUAUCCUUUGUCUCCGUGUUGUCACGCUGACCCCCUGCAUGAUAACACGACUCUUUAAAGUCACGGUGUGCCUGUGGGUUGGUUAGAAGCAACAAAUGUAGAUCAAUGGUGGUGAGUUGGCUAAAAGGCAAAUGGGGUUGAGUGAGUGGGACCAACAGUUAAUGUGAGCAUGGUUUCUGGGUUCACACACUGACACUGCCUAUUUAAACUACAGUUGUGAUUUGAGCACUACUCAAUAGAAAUUAACAAAGAAUCAUGUAGGUGAAGUUGAAUUAACAAUCAUUUCAUAGUGUGAGUGCUUUGUGUAGUUUUUGUUUAAAAGUAAACUGUUGUUAAUGCCCCUUUUUCAUUGUUUUAGCAGGUUUUCCAUCUCCUGUCAUCCCCACUUCAAGAUAUUUAAUGCACCUGUCCAUAAAGUGAAAUGCAGUUAUCCAAUCUAUGAGCAAUACUGUAUCUGUCAUAAAGAAUAAAGAUGGAUAAUGUUAACUCCUGGAUUGGUAAGCACACCUUGACUCUUACUAAGACCAGUAGCAACAGGUAACUAACCAUUAGCACCAUUUAAAUUAAAAUGAGUAGAAAGUUAAGAUAAUUCCUAUAAUAUAGAUACAGUAAUGCUAGUAGUAUAACAAGGAGCUAAGUCAGCAGACAUGUUUCCAUAAAGGUUUUCCUUAACAUAUACAGCUUACACUGCAGCUGCACUACCCGAUGAUUCAACCUUCACGUUAAAUUCAUACCUACCUGGAACCCUGAAGCAUAAGCUUCGGUUGGAUUGGUGGAGCUCUGAAAUGACAACGUAGUGUAGAUUGUUAAAAUGUUGCCCUUCCCAUGUGGUCAGAUUAGUAAUGGCAGAAAGAUGUUAACUUUGUUGAAGGGGAGAAGCGACAUUGCAAUAUUGAGUACCAUUGUUGGUCCUCCGAUCUGCUACAAAAGCAUUAUGUUUGCUUCCAGAUUUCCAACAGGUUUUUUUCUUUGUAUGUUUUGUGGUU